AUUGAACGCUGGCGGCAGGCCUAACACAUGCAAGUCGAACGGUAACAGGAAGAAGCUUGCUUCUUUGCUGACGAGUGGCGGACGGGUGAGUAAUGUCUGGGAAACUGCCUGAUGGAGGGGGAUAACUACUGGAAACGGUAGCUAAUACCGCAUAACGUCGCAAGACCAAAGAGGGGGACCUUCGGGCCUCUUGCCAUCGGAUGUGCCCAGAUGGGAUUAGCUAGUAGGUGGGGUAACGGCUCACCUAGGCGACGAUCCCUAGCUGGUCUGAGAGGAUGACCCGCCCCCCUGGAAACUAGAAACGGUCCCAACUCCCAAGGGAGGGCAGCGGGGGGAAAAUUGGCACAAUGGGGGCAACCUGAUGCAGGCCUGGCCGCGUGAUUGAAAAAGCCCUUCGGUUUUAAAAUUCCUUUCGGCGGGAGGAAGGGAGUAAAGUUAAUACCUUUGCUCAUUGACGUUACCCGCAGAAGAAGCACCGGCUAACUCCGUG
RNAcentral lists this ribosomal RNA (490 nucleotides) under uncultured bacterium. RNAcentral's name for it is "partial 16S ribosomal RNA". It matches the Rfam family "Bacterial small subunit ribosomal RNA", at positions 30 to 507 of the family's 1533-position model. The record is from RNAcentral.